AUGAACGCUGGCGGCGUGCUUAACACAUGCAAGUCGAACGGAAAGGCCCAAGCUUGCUUGGGUACUCGAGUGGCGAACGGGUGAGUAACACGUGGGUGAUCUGCCCUGCACUUCGGGAUAAGCCUGGGAAACUGGGUCUAAUACCGGAUAGGACCACAUUUUGGAUGGUGUGGUGGAAAGUUUUUCGGUGUGGGAUGAGCUCGCGGCCUAUCAGCUUGUUGGUGGGGUAAUGGCCUACCAAGGCGUCGACGGGUAGCCGGCCUGAGAGGGUGUACGGCCACAUUGGGACUGAGAUACGGCCCAGACUCCUACGGGAGGCAGCAGUGGGGAAUAUUGCACAAUGGGCGCAAGCCUGAUGCAGCGACGCCGCGUGGGGGAUGACGGCCUUCGGGUUGUAAACUCCUUUCGCUAGGGACGAAGCGUUAUGUGACGGUACCUGGAGAAGAAGCACCGGCUAACUACGU
RNAcentral lists this ribosomal RNA (464 nucleotides) under uncultured bacterium. RNAcentral's name for it is "partial 16S ribosomal RNA". It matches the Rfam family "Bacterial small subunit ribosomal RNA", at positions 29 to 506 of the family's 1533-position model. The record is from RNAcentral.